RNAcentral lists this long non-coding RNA (479 nucleotides) under Homo sapiens (human). RNAcentral's name for it is "HSALNT0366903". Lineage: Eukaryota; Metazoa; Chordata; Mammalia; Primates; Hominidae. The record is from RNAcentral.
CUAAAUAUGAUUAGAAGCUGAACAGCGAGUACACUUCUCCUGAAACAAGCAAGAAAUUCGGCUUCCAGGUAACACGACACUACUUUCAUUAAGGCUUAUUUUCCCCCAUUCCUUCAACCCUAGUUUCCUCAGGGAAGAAGCAAAGAACUAUCAUUAAUAAUUUACAGACUUUGUUCCAAAGGCUGUAAAGGGUAACAUCUCUGGUGUUAAUCCUCUUCACAGCAGCUAUAUUUUCAUCUUAUGGAAAAAUCCAAGGCUAAUGGUAAAAUAACUUCCCCACGGUCACACUGUGCUACUCUAAAGGGACAGCACAUCCCGCAAAGGACCUCUCCUAAAGAGCAGAGAACUUUUCAUUACUGGUGUUGUUCAAGAAAAGCCUUGAUGAUGUAGAAGAGAUUCUUUGAAGGUCAGUCUUUUCCUCCUGAUGAAGGAAUUCAUGAACUGCAUGCUACCCUUACUGUUAUGACUUCUAAAACUGC